This 1095-nucleotide long non-coding RNA is filed under the name Arabidopsis thaliana (thale cress). RNAcentral's name for it is "long non-coding RNA (ATHA_LNC000692)". Lineage: Eukaryota; Viridiplantae; Streptophyta; Magnoliopsida; Brassicales; Brassicaceae. The record is from RNAcentral.
UUCCGAUUAAAAUUCUCAAUUCUGAGACAAAACCAACCAAACAUCAAGUUUGAGACACAAAAACAACCAAAUAAAGUAAACUAAACAACCAAGUUUGAGACAAAGCAAACCAAACAUCAUUCCAAACCUUCCAAACACAUCUGAUAAACUAAUCAAGUCUAAAAAUACAAAAGACAACGCCACAUAAUCAUUUCUUCUUGCCACGACCACUACCACGUCCAACAGCAAGUUUCUUGCAUUCUCGUACUGGGAAGGAUUGUGUUAUUUCGUGAGUCAACAAUAGACCUACCAAGAUGGAUAUAGUCAUCACCAAUUACAGGACUGGUGAAGACACUGUAACCUUCCUAUAAAAAUUCACAUAUAAGAGAUUUGAGUCAUAAAAGAAAUUCUAAGCUAAACAUAAACGCUAUUUAACGAUACUAUAGCGGUUUAAUAAGCGCUCUAUCAUCGUCCGUCAUAAUAGGUCAAAGACAUAAUAUACCGGUUUUUGUUUGUGUUAUCAUACUGUUAAUUAUUAUAGCGCUUUCUUCGCCGCACCAGAUCUAAUAAUUUUUUGAAUACUAUUUCCAGAACCUAAACCACCGAUAUCUUGUCCAACUAGCAACUACAAAAUCAUUCUUUGAUCAUCUCAAAUCUCGAUAUAGUCAAAACACAAAAACAAAAAAUGAUUUAAAGUUAAAACAAAAUAAAAAAACAAAGCUCUGAACUUUAUAUUCAGUGAGGAAUAAAAGCAAACACUCGGUGGAUGUAUUUUGAUUAAUACGAGGAAACUAAAACUCACAAUUGUUUUAUCAAAUCUGAACAAAUCUUCUUCUCUCCGACGAUAUGUUUCCGUGGCCAACGAGAUAAAAUUGGAGAAUCCGUGAAAUCCUAUCCUUCUCCAUCUCAAAAGCAAACAUUAAUAUGACGGAAUCUCUUCAACACAGUCUUCGAUUUAUCAAACUUGCUAAAAUCAAACACUCAAAGGAACCUCUUUUAUUCCUCUUUGAAAAUUAUUGUGCUAAAUUUACGUUAGAUUUAUUUGACCAAAAAGAGGAGAAGAAGACGAAGAAAUGAGGAGAAGAAAGUGGAGGAAGGAGACGAAGAGAGGAAGAG